UGUAGCCGACUUUACUGAAGAUGUGGAGGCACAAUGAGGAUUUACAUAGCAAAAAUACAAAAAACCUUAAGAUUGAAUAUCGACAUCCAUGAACUUAAGAGACUCAGUUAUUUCUACCCCUGGGCUUCAGGGUUCACCUCAUCCCAGCCCCACCCCUUCUUAGGAGGUAAAACAGAAGUCAAAUUCCUCACAGCUUCUUACUGAGAGCUCAGCCCUCCUAGAUCUUUCCCCGCAGCUUCACACAGUGUUAGAUUCCUAAUGAAGAAUGCGUCUCUCCUUAAUGCUGAGGACAGCAUGAGGGUGAAAGACAAACUGGUGGGGCCAUGAGCCUGCAGGCCUUCUCUUUGACCUCUCUGAGGAACACCAGCACCCUAGGGGUGUGUGUGUGUGUGUGUGUGUGUGUGUGCGUGCGUGCGUGCGUGUGCAUGUCUCCCAGAGACACCUUUUCCCCUCAUGCUGGGGCUGCAACCCAGGCCUCGUGCAUAUGAACCCUCUAUCACUCAGCUCCGUUCUUUACCACUGAGGUACAGCCCCAGCCCUUUUUACUUUUUGAGACAGAAUCUUUCUAAAUUACCCAAGCAAGGUUUCGACCUGUAAUUCUCCUGCUUCAGCCUCUCAAGCAGCUAGAACAUACACCAAGAGGUGACAUCCUCUGAAUGCUUAUGAGCUAGGGGUGGCACGGCUCCUUGAAACAUUUCAUCUUCCCCUUCCCAACAGGAUUCUGAAGUCACAGCCCUUCCCUCCCGUCUUGCCUAAGUCUACGAAGGCUGCAGGAGGGUAAGCCAGCUGCUUGAGGUCACUUGACUUGGGAGAGGCCGCUGAGUCCGGGGUUAGCUCAGCUGGAGAGUUCAGCUCUUGAGAACAUCUUAUAUAGCUUAGGUCUUUGGGGAAAAGCUCCUUUUCAUUCUUCUUUUUUAAAAAAACUUAUCUAUUUUAUUUUUUCAUUUUUGGGCAUGGUGACCCCAAGGUGAAGUCCACACCACUGUGCCCACAUCCCCUAUGUCUGGUGGCCAGGUGGGUGAUGGGCACCAGUACAGCCCCACCCGACACAGCCCUGCAGCCUCAGGUGCUUUCUCCUGUCACAUCCACCCUGUCCUCCAGCCUCCUCCACCCACUGCUCACAAACUCUGAACCCAGUCUGAGAGGUAGCAGGUGUAUAAGGACCAAGCACACACAAGACAUGAAGCCACUCAGGGUAGCCCCACCCACUCUACUGGCUACGCACGCACGCACGCACGCACGCACGCACCCACGCACAUCUUCCUGCAUGGGUUUUCAUUUCAGGAAAUCUUCACAUUCCCCUUCAUGGGCAUAAUCUACUUAGCCAUGCUCAGACCCACAAGGGGGUGACUUGCCUCCCUCUCCCCCUUUCUACUUGAUGAUACUGCCAGCUCUAAACCGUGUCAGGGGGACCAGGGGCUUGAGGUCCCUUCCUCACCACCCAGGUGUGCUGCGUAUUCCCUUGCUGCCUCCUCACUGCCAGGCACGGUGGCCUCAGGAAGCCAACCUAGCUGGGGCCCAGCAGGGCAGGCGAUCGCACUGCACAACUCAUUCCUCUCGUCUACGGCAGCUCCAGGGUUUUCUGAAACUCAGAUCCCAAGCACUUGCUCUGCUAACACUUCUCCAGGGCUUCCCUUCACAACAAGGAAAAGCCCAGUUCUCAGGAGUGAGCACGAGGAGGUCCCCAGGGCUAGGUUUCCUGCUUCUCUUCCCCAUCUGGGUGCUGGCUGGGGCACUGCUGGCCCUGAGAUUCACUCAUAUUCCAGACUCAGCAGCCUCCUCUCAACACCUAGGACACUGUCCCCUGCCUGUCUCUAGGACUUGUUGGGACCAUUGUGCUGUCCCUCCCAGCUCCAGGAGCUGCCUCUUCUUGUCCUUCAAGAGCCAGCCCAAUGCCCUCACCCCAGGAUGUCCCAGCAGUGACCAGAAGCUCUGCCCAGUCACACCCUCCACAGCUCUCCCCUUGACGUACACAUCUUCCUCACUGACUCACUCUUCAUCCAAAGCAAGCACAACAGGAGCUUGUCUGUCUGUGCGCCGACAACCCCAACGCCCAGGCCAGAGCUGGAGUUAGGUAUCUGCAAAGUGCAUGAGUAAGUGCACUGACAUCCAGGCAAGUUAUCUCAGCUUCUGCACCUCUCUUCAUCUUUACAAUGGGGGUGCUGGGGCAGUGGUGCACACCUGUAGCUCCCACCACUUGGAAAACUGAGGCACAAGGAUCACUUGAGCCAAGGUAUUUCAGGUCAGCCUGGGUCACAUAGCAAGAAACUGAGUCAAGAAAAGAGAAAAAGAAAUGGGUCCAUGAGAACUGGAGAACUCACGGAGCUGCUCUUUUUAGGGCCAUGAAGCAGCCCAGCCAUGGUGGGCACAUACUUUCACCCAGGGCUGGGCUUGGCUCAGCCUUCCACAGAAGAGGCUUCUUAGGUACCACAGAUAGAACCUGGUACCUCAUGCAUGCCAGACAGGCUCUACCAUGAACUACAUCCCCAGCUCCUCUUAUUUUGAGACAGGGUUUUUCCCAAUUGCCUAGACUGGCCUCAAACUUGCUACCCUCCUGCCUCAGCUUCCUGAGGAGCUGGGAUUAUAGUUGUACCCAGUGCUCUUAAAAAAUGAGUCACAUGGCCAGGGAGAUGGCUCAGUAGAAUAAGUGCUUCCCUGGCAAGUGCAAGGGCCUGAGUUCAAUCCCCAGUUCUGCCAAAAAAAAAAAAAAAAAAGAAAAAAAGAAAGAAAAAAUGAGUCACAGGUGGUCAGCAGGUGGAGAGGAAGGCACUACUGGCUGGAGGAACAGGUGACACCAACAGCAAGGCAGAGAGGUUGGGGGCUCUGAGCAUCAGGGGUCAGGGAACCUGGGAGCUGGGUGGUGCUGCAGGGAAGGUGGCCAAGCCAUUUCCCUUUGACCCCAACAAGACCACAGGGAAGCAGAAAAAUGUAGCACCUUCAAAGGUGAUCCCUGGGCCAUGUCCACCUGUAAAUAGGUGGUGCUCCCCUGGCUGCUUGAACUGUUAAAAGGGGAAGCUCAGAGCCAAUGCCAGACCCAUCCCUGCAGCCCCACCCAUCACAACACAGAGGGCCACCUCCUUAACUGUACGAGGCCAAAGGGCCCACACACUCCCUCUCUGGGCCUACGCGCAGGUGCCCAGUGCUGGGGCCACCAGGCAGUCUCUGAAUCCAAACAGCCCUGGCACGGCAUUGAGGAGGCAGAACUGUGGGGCGGGGACUGCAAACCUAGGCUGGCAUGUGCCAGAGCACAUGCCCACCGCUGGGCACUCAGUCCAGACAUUAGAAUGCCUGCCCCUCUUUACCUGGCAUCUAUCUGUGGAAGACAAGCACAUCUGGGAAACGUCCACAGGGAACUAGAGUUAUGUGCCUCUCCUGACCUUUCCCUUCCCUUCCGUCUCCCCCAUCCCAGGUCUUCUCCCCAUUUCCAUAAGGCCUACCUCUCGGUUCCCUGCUAUCUAUGGUCCAUCUUUUAUUUUGCUUUUUAAAUUCUUUAUAUUUGGGUGAAAAAAAACCCAAUGAAUUCUUUACACUUUGGGUUGCCUCAUACAAUGGAAAGAUGUGCUAGUUAAGCUCACCUGACAUGCUGUCCUAGCUUUCAGGGAGAGCUGGGCCUCCCCAAACAAUACAUUUAUAACCAGGGCAGGAGGCCAAAUUCUAGUCCUGCUUCUUGAAGAGGUUGUGAAGCUGCUUUAUGAUGGGAUCAGUAGGUGCUGGGCCGAGGACAGAGGAAACUGGGUGGCUUUGACUCUCUUCCCAUACUGGACAGGAUGCCAGCCAGGUUCCUCCCAUAGUUUAUCUGUUCUAAGAACACAGUUCAGUAUAGCAUGCACACCUGGGGUAUGCAAAGCCCUGGGUUCCACUUCCAGCAAAACAUACACCACAUGUGCACAUACUCACAUAUACAUGCUGCCCACCUGUUACACCAUGCUCUGCUCAAGGGCCACCUCUUUCAGUCCUCCAUACCCUGGUCUCUAUUAUCUUCGUCCUCUGGCUGCUUUGAGGAUGUGCCCAUCCCUCUGACAGCUUUCCCACCUAGCUCCAUAGUUAGACCACCACAUGUGCUAAGUAUUAAUAUCACUAUUGAUAUUUACUGACCACAUGGGUAUGCUGAGCACCAUGGUAGGAGCUGUGCAUACACGAGGUAGGUUAUUAUUAUACCCAUUUUACAGAUGGGAUAACUGAGGCACACAGAAUUUAAGUAGUUUACCCCAAGUCCCUGAACUGGUGGGCAGGCUAACUCCAGAGCUGCUGUGCCUAACACCACUUCAGAGAAUCCCUCAAUGAUGCUGUACACAGAAGAUCUGCUGGAGCACAGAGCUCAUGGCAAACACCCAGAGGUUUGAUCUUAUUCACCUCCCUGCAAGCUGCUAGGACUGUGGUUCCUGUCCGGGAAGACAGCACCAAUGACCAGGAGGUGGCAGCAAGGAGCCACACACAGGCUCCCUCCCACAGGGGCAGGGAGCUGUUCAGGGUGGGUAUCUUUGGCACUUCCCCGGCCUCCUGGCUCCUCAUCUGUGCCCCUCCUCUGGUUACAGAGGAGCUGUGGGUUGCGGGGG
Long non-coding RNA from Octodon degus (degu), 4556 nucleotides. RefSeq lists it as uncharacterized. The record is from RefSeq and is a predicted model, not a curated record. Lineage: Eukaryota; Metazoa; Chordata; Mammalia; Rodentia; Octodontidae. The transcript is spliced from 4 exons.